RNAcentral lists this ribosomal RNA (580 nucleotides) under uncultured bacterium. Its description in RNAcentral is "bacterial SSU rRNA". It matches the Rfam family "Bacterial small subunit ribosomal RNA", at positions 338 to 917 of the family's 1533-position model. The record is from RNAcentral.
CCUACGGGAGGCAGCAGUGAGGAAUAUUGGACAAUGGGCGCAAGCCUGAUCCAGCCAUGCCGCGUGCAGGAAGACUGCCCUAUGGGUUGUAAACUGCUUUUAUACAGGAAGAAUAAGCCUUACGUGUAAGGUGAUGACGGUACUGUAAGAAUAAGGACCGGCUAACUCCGUGCCAGCAGCCGCGGUAAUACGGAGGGUCCAAGCGUUAUCCGGAAUUAUUGGGUUUAAAGGGUCCGUAGGUGGAUGAUUAAGUCAGGGGUGAAAGUUUGCAGCUCAACUGUAAAAUUGCCUUUGAUACUGGUUAUCUUGAAUUGUAUUGAAGUAGGCGGAAUAUGUAGUGUAGCGGUGAAAUGCAUAGAUAUUACAUAGAACACCAAUUGCGAAGGCAGCUUACUAAGUACUAAUUGACACUGAUGGACGAAAGCGUGGGUAGCGAACAGGAUUAGAUACCCUGGUAGUCCAUGCCGUAAACGAUGGAUACUAGCUGUUCGGAAGUUAAUUCUGAGCGGCCCAGCGAAAGUGAUAAGUAUCCCACCUGGGGAGUACGUUCGCAAGAAUGAAACUCAAAGGAAUUGACGGA